GCAAACUUGGUCAUUUAGAGGAAGUAAAAGUCGUAACAAGGUUUCCGUAGGUGAACCUGCGGAAGGAUCAUUCACAAACGAGUGUUUUAUGGCACUCUUUAAAAAUCCAUAUCCACCUUGUGUGCAAUGUUUGUUGGGAAAGUCUUUUCUUUCCCUUCACAAAUAUCAACCUAUAUCUUUAACAACAUUCGUCUGAUAACAUAUUAUGAAUAUACUUAAUUCAAAAUAUAACUUUCAACAACGGAUCUCUUGGCUCUCGCAUCGAUGAAGAACGCAGC
RNAcentral lists this unclassified non-coding RNA (278 nucleotides) under uncultured fungus. RNAcentral describes it as "partial contains small subunit ribosomal RNA, internal transcribed spacer 1, and 5.8S ribosomal RNA". The stretch from base 1 to 73 matches the Rfam family "Eukaryotic small subunit ribosomal RNA", at positions 1759 to 1831 of the family's 1831-position model. The record is from RNAcentral. Lineage: Eukaryota; Fungi.